ACGAAAGAAGCUUAGUGCGAACGGGUGAGUAACACGUAGGCAACUGCCCAAAAGAGGGGGAUAACACUUGGAAACAGGUGCUAAUACCGCAUAACCAUGAACACCGCAUGAUGUUCAUGUAAAAGACGGCUUUUGCUGUCACUUUUGGAUGGGCUGCGGCGUAUUAACUUGUUGGUGGGGUAACGGCCUACCAAGGUGAUGAUACGUAGCCGAACUGAGAGGUUGAUCGGCCACAUUGGGACUGAGACACGGCCCAAACUCUACGGGAGGCAGCAGUAGGGAAUCUUCCACAAUGGACGAAAGUCUGAUGGAGCAACGCCGCGUGAAUGAAGAAGGCCUUCGGGUCGUAAAAUUCUGUUGUCAGAGAAGAACGUGCGUGAGAGUAACUGUUCACGUAUUGACGGUAUCUGACCAGAAAGCCACGGCUAACUACGUGCCAGCAGCCGCGGUAAUACGUAGGUGGCGAGCGUUGUCCGGAUUUAUUGGGCGUAAAGGGAACGCAGGCGGUCUUUUAAGUCUGAUGUGAAAGCCUUCGGCUUAACCGAAGUAGUGCAUUGGAAACUGGAAGACUUGAGUGCAGAAGAGGAGAGUGGAACUCCAUGUGUAGCGGUGAAAUGCGUAGAUAUAUGGAAGAACACCAGUGGCGAAAGCGGCUCUCUGGUCUGUAACUGACGCUGAGGUUCGAAAGCGUGGGUAGCAAACAGGAUUAGAUACCCUGGUAGUCCACGCCGUAAACGAUGAGUGCUAAGUGUUGGAGGGUUUCCGCCCUUCAGUGCUGCAGCUAACGCAUUAAGCACUCCGCCUGGGGAGUACGGUCGC
This 819-nucleotide ribosomal RNA is filed under the name uncultured bacterium. RNAcentral's name for it is "bacterial SSU rRNA". It matches the Rfam family "Bacterial small subunit ribosomal RNA", at positions 82 to 889 of the family's 1533-position model. The record is from RNAcentral.